Bombus terrestris (buff-tailed bumblebee) is the source of this 755-nucleotide long non-coding RNA. RefSeq lists it as uncharacterized. The transcript has 2 exons. The record is from RefSeq and is a predicted model, not a curated record. Lineage: Eukaryota; Metazoa; Arthropoda; Insecta; Hymenoptera; Apidae.
AAGUGAUUAACAAGAGAGCGGCUAGGUAACAUAUGGUAGCCGUGAUCCCGAGUACGAAAGCGUGUAAAUUCUCCGUAAGAGGCAGGAAAACGUAACACGCCAGGAGCGCGUGAGUCGCGUACGCAGUAAACAUACAUUGAGACACAAAUGAAGAGAGACCACAGUAAAAUUCCAGUCCUGGAAAAAUACAAGAAAGAUCCUUCGAUGUUACCUACGCUCGGACCGAUAUGGAAUCACAUGUAACUGCGUCACAGAAGAAACACAGCAUCGCGAGAUACUAACUUAAAAAGGUGUUUAAAAAUCUAUAGCAAACACAAGUAACAAUAUUACAAACUAAAGAUACUAAAGAUAAAUAAUAAACUAUCGGAAUUUUAUUAACCAUCUCUAAAAUAAAUCACUAUAUAAAAUCACACCUCUUUGUCAAAAUGGUACUUCCUCUUCCUUCUGUUUUAUCAAACAAGACAAUAUCUUAAAUCAAUUCUAAACUUUCUCAACUUGUAAUUUUAUAUUCCAAGAACUUGAUAUAUAUAAAUAGUGGUUUCACGCGACACGAUUAAACAGUAUAUAUCCUUUUAUGAAGAAUAACUAUUAUUCGAUAUCGAACGGAAACCACAAUAGCCACAGUAGCCACAAUUUCAUUGAUGGAAGAGUCAAAAAACUCGACGUUACCAACGUGCGCGUAUCUCCGACAGUCACCGGCUGUCUGAUGUAAAAUCACGGUAGCUGACGUGAAUUAUGCGGCUCGUAAAGCACGA